Molecule: long non-coding RNA, 283 nt
Filed under: Rattus norvegicus (Norway rat)
Lineage: Eukaryota; Metazoa; Chordata; Mammalia; Rodentia; Muridae
Description: long non-coding RNA NONRATT018859
Source: RNAcentral
GCGAGCCGCCGCCGAGCCGCCUCCUUCCUCCUCGGAUCGCGGGCUGUCAUGGCGACCCCCAACAACCUGACCCCCACCAACUGCAGCUGGUGGCCCAUCUCGGCGCUGGAGAGCGAUGCAGCCAAGCCGGUGGAAGCCCCCGACGCGCCCGAGGCAGCCAGCCCCGCCCAUUGGCCCAAGGAGAGCCUGGUUCUGUACCACUGGACCCAAUCCUUCAGCUCGCAGAAGGACAUUUAGCCAACGCCACCACAGACCUCAUGAAACUGGACCAUGAAGAACCACA